UACGAAGGGGGCUAGCGUUGCUCGGGAUGACUGGGCGUAAAGGGCGCGUAGGCGGCUCAUACAGUCAGAUGUGAAAUUCCUGGGCUUAACCUGGGGGCUGCAUUUGAUACGUGUGGGCUUGAGUGGGGAAGAGGGUCGUGGAAUUCCCAGUGUAGAGGUGAAAUUCGUAGAUAUUGGGAAGAACACCGGUGGCGAAGGCGGCGACCUGGUCCUUGACUGACGCUGAGGCGCGAAAGCGUGGGGAGCAAACAGG
RNAcentral lists this ribosomal RNA (253 nucleotides) under uncultured bacterium. RNAcentral describes it as "partial 16S ribosomal RNA". It matches the Rfam family "Bacterial small subunit ribosomal RNA", at positions 524 to 776 of the family's 1533-position model. The record is from RNAcentral.